CCUACGGGUGGCAGCAGUGAGGAAUAUUGGUCAAUGGGCGCGAGCCUGAACCAGCCAAGUAGCGUGAAGGAUGACUGCCCUACGGGUUGUAAACUGCUUUUAUAAAGGAAUAAAGUGAGGCACGUGUGCCUUUUUGUAUGUACUUUAUGAAUAAGGAUCGGCUAACUCAGUGCCAGCAGCCGCGGUAAGAAGGAGGAUCCGAGCGUUAUCCGGAUUUAUUGGGUUUAAAGGGAGCGUAGAUGGGUUGUUAAGUCAGUUGUGAAAGUUUGCGGCUCAACCGUAAAAUUGCAAUUGAUACUGGCAGCCUUGAGUACAGGUGAGGUAGGCAGAAUUCGUGGUGUAGCGGUGAAAUGCUUAGAUAUCACGAAGAACUCCGAUUGCGAAGGCAGCUUACUAAACUGCCACUGACAUUGAUGCUCGAAAGUGUGGGUAUCAAACAGGAUUAGAUACCCUGGUAGUC
This 460-nucleotide ribosomal RNA is filed under the name uncultured bacterium. Its description in RNAcentral is "partial 16S ribosomal RNA". It matches the Rfam family "Bacterial small subunit ribosomal RNA", at positions 338 to 795 of the family's 1533-position model. The record is from RNAcentral.